UGGGGAAUAUUGGACAAUGGGCGAAAGCCUGAUCCAGCCAUGCCGCGUGUGUGAAGAAGGUCUUCGGAAUGUAAAGCACUCUAAGUUGGGAGGAAGGGCAGUAAGCGAAUACCUUGCUGUUUUGACGUUACCGACAGAAUAAGCACCGGCUAACUCUGUGCCAGCAGCCGCGGUAAUACAGAGGGUGCAAGCGUUAAUCGGAAUUACUGGGCGUAAAGCGCGCGUAGGUGGUUCGUUAAGUGGAAUGUGAAAGCCCCGGGCUCAACCUGGGAACUGCAUCCAAAACUGGCGAGCUAGAGUAGGGCAGAGGGUGGUGGAAUUUCCUGUGUAGCGGUGAAAUGCGUAGAUAUAGGAAGGAACACCAGUGGCGAAGGCGACCACCUGGGCUCAUACUGCCACUGAGGUGCGAAAGCGUGGGGAGCAAACAGG
Molecule: ribosomal RNA, 429 nt
Filed under: Pseudomonadota bacterium
Lineage: Bacteria; Pseudomonadati; Pseudomonadota
Description: Proteobacteria bacterium partial 16S ribosomal RNA
Rfam family: Bacterial small subunit ribosomal RNA
Source: RNAcentral